UAACUUGCAGUAGUGCCAUGCCUCAAACCAUAACUUAAACACAUAGGGGAUAGGGGUUUUGGAUGCAUAGUAGAAUAGGCAAAAAGAAAUGAGUAUGCUAGAAUGAGUGUUGAACUAUACAUAAGCAGUAAAUAGGGAUACAAAAGCCGUAAAUAAAUACAUUGUUGUGGUGCUAAAACUUAAAGCAGGACAUACUAGUUUCAAAGAGACAAAUAGAGAGAAAGCAAGCAACAUAUC
RNAcentral lists this long non-coding RNA (237 nucleotides) under Nicotiana benthamiana. Its description in RNAcentral is "long non-coding RNA (NBEN_LNC014380)". The record is from RNAcentral. Lineage: Eukaryota; Viridiplantae; Streptophyta; Magnoliopsida; Solanales; Solanaceae.